This 497-nucleotide ribosomal RNA is filed under the name uncultured bacterium. Its description in RNAcentral is "partial 16S ribosomal RNA". It matches the Rfam family "Bacterial small subunit ribosomal RNA", at positions 28 to 507 of the family's 1533-position model. The record is from RNAcentral.
GAUGAACGCUGGCGGCGUGCCUAAUACAUGCAAGUCGAGCGAACAGACGAGGAGCUUGCUCCUCUGACGUUAGCGGCGGACGGGUGAGUAACACGUGGAUAACCUACCUAUAAGACUGGGAUAACUUCGGGAAACCGGAGCUAAUACCGGAUAAUAUAUUGAACCGCAUGGUUCAAUAGUGAAAGACGGUUUUGCUGUCACUUAUAGAUGGAUCCGCGCCGCAUUAGCUAGUUGGUAAGGUAACGGCUUACCAAGGCAACGAUGCGUAGCCGACCUGAGAGGGUGAUCGGCCACACGGGAACUGAGACACGGUCCAGACUACUACGGGAGGCAGCAGUAGGGAAUCUUCCGCAAUGGGCGAAAGCCUGACGGAGCAACGCCGCGUGAGUGAUGAAGGUCUUCGGAUCGUAAAACUCUGUUAUUAGGGAAGAACAAAUGUGUAAGUAACUAUGCACGUCGUGACGGUACCUAAUCAGAAAGCCACGGCUAACUACGUG